This 468-nucleotide ribosomal RNA is filed under the name uncultured bacterium. RNAcentral's name for it is "partial 16S ribosomal RNA". It matches the Rfam family "Bacterial small subunit ribosomal RNA", at positions 28 to 507 of the family's 1533-position model. The record is from RNAcentral.
GACGAACGCUGGCGGCGUGCUUAACACAUGCAAGUCGAACGGAAAGUCCCUGCUUUUUUGGGGUGCUCGAGUUGCGACCUGGUGAGUAACACUUGAGUAACCUGCCCUUGCCUUUAGGAUAACUUCAUGAAACUUAGUCUCAUCCCGCCUAGGAUCUCCUGCUUCAUGGUGGGCGUUGGAAAGUUUCGGCGGUUGGGGUUGUACUCGCGUUUUAUCAGCUUGUUGGUGGGGUAGUGGCUUACCAAGGCUUUGACGGGUAGCCGGCCUGGGAGGGGGACCGGACAAAUUGGGAAGGAGAUACGGCACAGACUAGAACGGGAGGCAGGGGUGGGGAAGAGUGCACAAGGGGAGGAAGGAUGAUGCAGCAAAGCAGCGUGCGGGAAGACAGGCAGCGGGUUGUAAACCGAUGUCGCCUGAGACGAAGCGAGAGUGACGGUAAUGGGUAAAGAAGCACCGGCUAACUACGUG